RNAcentral lists this ribosomal RNA (503 nucleotides) under uncultured bacterium. Its description in RNAcentral is "bacterial SSU rRNA". It matches the Rfam family "Bacterial small subunit ribosomal RNA", at positions 24 to 518 of the family's 1533-position model. The record is from RNAcentral.
UCAGGAUGAACGCUAGCUACAGGCUAACACAUGCAAGUCGAGGGGCAGCAUUGGGAUAGCUUGCUAUUCAGAUGGCGACCGGCGCACGGGUGAGUAACGCGUAUCCAACCUUCCUGCCAGUAGGGAACAGCCCGGCGAAAGUCGGAUUAAUGCCCUAUGUUCUUCAAUGCGGACAUCUAAGUUGAAGGAAAGAUUCAUCGCUGGCAGAUGGGGAUGCGUCCGAUUAGCUUGCCGCGGGUAACGGCCCACCGGGGCGACGAUCGGUGGGGGUUCUGAGAGGAAGGUCCCCCACACUGGUACUGAGACACGGACCAGACUCCUACGGGAGGCAGCAGUGAGGAAUAUUGGUCAAUGGGCGUAAGCCUGAACCAGCCAAGUAGCGUGCAGGGAAUGACGGCCCUACGGGUUGUAAACUGCUUUUAUGCGGGGAUAAAGUGCGGCACGUGUGCCGCUUUGCAGGUACCGCAUGAAUAAGGACCGGCUAAUUCCGUGCCAGCAGCUGC